Long non-coding RNA from Anguilla rostrata (American eel), 2393 nucleotides. RefSeq lists it as uncharacterized. The transcript is spliced from 2 exons. NCBI's taxonomy places the organism in Eukaryota, Metazoa, Chordata, Actinopteri, Anguilliformes, Anguillidae. The record is from RefSeq and is a predicted model, not a curated record.
GUUUUUAAAUGAUUGCAAACAAUCACUUAAAAAGAGGUAACAUUUUUAACAGAUGAAAUUAACGAGGGUAAUUAAUAGACUCCUCAUUAGGUUGCUGAACACGCGUUUAAGUGCAUAAUAUUUCCCUUAAACUGAUUAGCACAAUACAGGUUUGACUCGUUAUCAUUUUCUUUGUUUUUGAAUUCUUCGUUAUCUAUCAAAUGAUUAGAUUUAGUGACCAGGUGUCCACACUUUCCCCAAAUAGAAACCUGCUGAUUUGCCUCAGUCUUUUUUUUUUUUUUUUUGAUUAGUUAAAAAGUUUUUUUAACCUCUUUAUGUAAUCGUCUACAAUAUAGCACAAUGUGAAUAUGGGACUUUUAUUCUUUAUGGCAUGCAUAGCUAUUUCUGACACAAGGUGGCUUAAGUGGGCAAAUAAUCCCUCUGACAUGAGAAGCACCUAAUUAAGGAAAAAUAAUAGCUUGUUAUAAUUCCGGGAUUGCAAUUGUGGUUGGAACGAAAACCAGCAUACACAGUGGGCCCCCAGGACCGAGGUUGAGAACCACUGGUAUAGGCUAUUAUGAAUUAAUUACGAGUACAUUAUUUGUCAAUUCCAGUAUGUUAUUGCAGGUUGUGGUCGAUACUUCUGUAAAUGGUAAAUGGACUGCAUUUAUAUAGCGCUUUUAUCCAAAGCGCUUUACAAUUGAUGCCUCUCAUUCGCCAGAGCAGUUAGGGGUUAGGUGUCUUGCUCAAGGACACUUCGACACUCCCAGGGCGGGGUUUGAACCGGCAACCCUCCGAUUGCCAGACAAUCGGUCUUACCUCCUGAGCUAUGUCGCCCCUGUACGAGUGAUUUGAAUCCAUCAGAUCAACUAGUGCUUUUAUUUUAUGUAAUGUGUUACAUGGCAACUGAUUUGAUUAGAAAGGGUCGCUUUUUAAAUUUUAUUGACUGAACUCAAUGAAAUGUCAAUGAAAUGACUUGCUUGUGGAGCACUUUGUGUCACAUUUGUGUAUGAAAGGUGGCAUACAAGUAAAGCACAUGUGUCAAACUUAAGUCCUGGUUCAUUUAAGCCGCUGAUUGGCUAAGGGAUCCGCACGGCUUAUUCUCAAGGCCUUAAUUGGCAGCUCGUUUAAAGAAAAACACGAAAACCCUCAGACACUGUGGCCUCUUUGGGAUUCAGUUUGAUGCCCUUGAAUUAAAGUUCAAGGGCAUCAAACUGAACUCUAUGAGUUGUCGCACUAUUUUGAGACAGUAUGACAGUCAGCGUUACUGUGAUAUAUUUAAAGUCACACAAAAAAAAAACUAAAAGGAAUUAAUUUGGACUGUUCUAUCUCCAUUGCGGCUUGUGAAUUUUGUGAUUGGUUUUUCAGUUCACAAACUCAAUGCAGCGAAAGAUGUGGACAUCUUGUAGAAUGGUACGGGCUCCUUUUCCCCAGAGUGCAUGACAAGAAUGUUUUUUCCCGGAGCGUAGAGCUUCAGGUGCCAAGCUUCAGAGAAGUUUUACCUGCGGCAGGUGUGAAGUGGCCUCUCAAAUAAGCACACGUCCCAGCUGCUGUUUCCUGUGGAACUGGGAACAACACUGCAGCAAACCAGAGAGCCAGUGAUGAGACACUGAAAAAUAAAAGAGACAAUGGCAACGAAAAGUGAGCGUCAAGUCAUAAAACACGUUCCCCACACAAAAAACAAGCCGGGGCCCAAUCACUGAGGAGUGGCCCACACACUGGCUACCUGUGUAAGAUCUAUUUACAAGUGACCUGUGGCUCACAACAAGUAUCAGCAUCCCAAGGUAGUGAAAAGUAGUGGGAGUUGCAAUCACCUCAACACCAACAGCACCGCAAAAAAAAAGGAAUUCAUUCCUACCUGACAGAGUAAUGGACACACUCAGUUAUGCUUGGAUACAGUUUUCAAAAACAAUGCUUUGUGAUUCAUUUUUUCACAUCUGUCUUCCAGCUGUUUCAUGUUUUUUUUUACAGCUUGUUUACAGUCCUCUCUGGCUGGCGAAUCUUUUAAACUGUGAAGAUCUGAAACAAAUAUAAGCACACACUGAGGGGUCCCUUUGGAAAGAAAAAAAAAACACACUUGAUUGUUGUAAUCUGAUGACAUCUGGGAAAAGUGAACAUGUUGGUGGAGUUCUCUCUGUUUUUGGUUUUGAUGGUGUAUUACUAAACAGACGAUACAAGUUUGUAGAGUAUUUUCUGCUCAUUUUCUUGCAUUAUACUGAUUUGAUAUAUGUUUUUUUUUUUUUUUUUUUGUGGACAAAGCUGUAAAGAAUGGAAUGAAAUGGAAACCCUGUCGGGACUUGAAUAUACCUGUCUGGCUAACACUUACCACCGCAGGGUAUGGUAAAUUAGCCUCUUUUUUUUGUAAAUCAUGCUUAUUUCACCCUGAGUUGCAAGUUCAUGGUAGUUAGAGACAA